Molecule: ribosomal RNA, 440 nt
Filed under: uncultured bacterium
Lineage: Bacteria
Description: bacterial SSU rRNA
Rfam family: Bacterial small subunit ribosomal RNA
Source: RNAcentral
CCUACGGGUGGCUGCAGUGAGGAAUUUUGGGCAAUGGGCGAAAGCCUGACCCAGCAACGCCGCGUGGGUGAUGAAGGCCCUCGGGUCGUAAAGCCCUUUUCCCAGGGAAGAUAGUGACGGUACCUGGGGAAUCAGCCCCGGCUAACUACGUGCCAGCAGCCGCGGUAAUACGUAGGGGGCAAGCGUUGUCCGGAUUUAUUGGGCGUAAAGCGCUCGCAGGUGGUCCGUUGCGUCGUGCGUGAAAGACCCCGGCUCAACUGGGGAGUGUCGUGCGAUACGGGCGGACUAGAGGCCAGUAGGGGGAUGCGGAAUUCCGGGUGUAGUGGUGGAAUGCGUAGAGAUCCGGAGGAACACCAGCGGCGAAGGCGGCAUCCUGGACUGGUCCUGACACUCAGGAGCGAAAGCGUGGGGAGCGAACCGGCUUAGAUACCCCUGUAGUC